UACGGGGGGGGCAAGCGUUGUUCGGAAUUACUGGGCGUAAAGGGCUCGUAGGCGGCCAACUAAGUCGGAUGUGAAAUCCCCAGGCUUAACUUGGGAACUGCAUCCGAUACUGGAUGGCUUGAAUCCGGGAGAGGGAUGCGGAAUUCCCGGUGUAGCGGUGAAAUGCGCAGAUAUCGGGAGGAACACCAAUGGCGAAGGCAGCUCGCUGGGACGUUACUGACGCUGAGACGCGAAAGCGUGGGGAGCAAACAGG
This 253-nucleotide ribosomal RNA is filed under the name uncultured bacterium. RNAcentral describes it as "partial 16S ribosomal RNA". It matches the Rfam family "Bacterial small subunit ribosomal RNA", at positions 524 to 776 of the family's 1533-position model. The record is from RNAcentral.